CCCAGUGACCCAGACAGAAGGCCCAGUUACCCUCUCUGAGGGGGCAUCUAUGAUCCUGAACUGCACUUACCAGAGCAGCUCUACAACAGGCCAAGAAACAGAGAAAUAAGAAUCCCUCACUGUAAACUGGGCACACGUUUUGGAUCCCAGGUCUGAGUCUCUAAUUGGCUUAAGGACAAUCAAAGAAGAUCCUGGGAGCUGCAUCAGUGACCCUUUAACUUCAGCUGAACUAUGAAAAUUUAUAAAGAAAAGAAUGAGAAAACCUAGGAUACAUUCCCCACAAUGUUUAUGUAUGCAAACUAUAGAGGCUCCAUGUGGCCUCUUUGAGGUUUCAGUUAAGACGUGGGAAAAAUUUAAUUUCAAAGAUUUUGUAACUUAAUGAUCCAAAGGCUUUAUCAUGCUUUUCUGAACAGGACUGAGCAGGCAAGACUAAAUGCAGAGAAGAAAGGGCCCUUCAUGGCAGGAUUCAGGGUCUGAGGGUGGGAAGGAAGGCUUCUUUCUGAAUUGAGGUUAUACACUGUGAGUUGGAAUUGACUUGACAGCAACUGUUUUUUGUUUGUUUUAUUUCCAAAUGUAAUUGUUAUUCAAUUAAAGAAGAGUUAAUCCAAAAAGAA
Molecule: long non-coding RNA, 614 nt
Organism: Loxodonta africana (African savanna elephant)
Lineage: Eukaryota; Metazoa; Chordata; Mammalia; Proboscidea; Elephantidae
Exons: 2
Source: RefSeq, a predicted model, not a curated record